RNAcentral lists this unclassified non-coding RNA (350 nucleotides) under uncultured fungus. Its description in RNAcentral is "sequence contains ITS1". The stretch from base 1 to 105 matches the Rfam family "5.8S ribosomal RNA", at positions 50 to 154 of the family's 154-position model. The record is from RNAcentral. Lineage: Eukaryota; Fungi.
AAAAUGCGAUACGCAAUGCGAAUUGCAGAAUUCCGCGAAUCAUCAGAUUCUUGAACGCAACUGGCGCUGGAGGGAUAUCCUUCCAGCAUGUCUGUUUCAGUGUCUGAUAACCUCACAUCUAAACAUAGUGUGUUUGACAAGGAUGAUGUGUAUGUCUGAAAUAUGACUAUUUCAUCUUCUAAGUCUUACAUGAAAGAUGUAUGUGUGGGUCUUUGGAUCCAUCGAAUUGGUCACUGACACUUCAGUGAUUUCGAUUGGAUUAUCCAAUUACCUGUAUGCACAUAGAAUAUUUAAUAUUCAUACUUUAAUAUCUGCAUCUGAAAUCAGGCAAGAACACCCGCUGAACUUAA